This 255-nucleotide ribosomal RNA is filed under the name uncultured bacterium. Its description in RNAcentral is "partial 16S ribosomal RNA". It matches the Rfam family "Bacterial small subunit ribosomal RNA", at positions 524 to 776 of the family's 1533-position model. The record is from RNAcentral.
UACGAAGGGGGCUAGCGUUGCUCGGAAUCACUGGGCGUAAAGCGCACGUAGGCGGAUUGCUAAGUCAGGGGUGAAAUCCUGGAGCUCAACUCCAGAACUGCCCUUGAUACUGGCGGUCUCGAGUCCGGGAGAGGUGAGUGGAACUGCGAGUGUAGAGGUGAAAUUCGUAGAUAUUCGCAAGAACACCAGUGGCGAAGGCGGACUCACUGGCUCGAUACUGACGCUGAGGUGCGAAAAGCGUGGGGAGCAAACAGG